Molecule: ribosomal RNA, 1049 nt
Filed under: Podosphaera leucotricha
Lineage: Eukaryota; Fungi; Ascomycota; Leotiomycetes; Helotiales; Erysiphaceae
Description: SSU rRNA
Rfam family: Eukaryotic small subunit ribosomal RNA
Source: RNAcentral
UGCAUGUCUAGUAUAAGCAUUAUACCCUGAAACUGCCAAUGGGUCAAUAAAUCCGUUAUCGGUUAUUUGAUAAUACCUUACUACUUGGAUUACCGUGGUAAAUCUUGAAGUAAUAAAUGCUUAAAACCCCGAACUUGGAAAGGGGGUGUUUAUUAAAAAAAAAAACCAUGGCCUUCCGGGCUCCUUGGUGAAUCCUGAUAACCUUACCGAUCCCAUGGGCCUGGGCCGGGGAAGGGUCAUUCCAAUUUCUGCCCUAUCCACUUUCCAUGGGAAGGGAUUGGCCUACCCUGGUUUCCACGGGUAACGGGGAAUUAAGGUUCCAUUCCCGAAAAGGAGCCCGAAAAACGGGUACCACCUCCCAAGAAAGCAGCAGGGGCGCAAAUUACCCAAUCCCCACCCCGGGAGGUAGUGACCAUAAAUACUGAUUCCGGGCUCUUUUGGGUCUUGGAAUUGGAAUGAGUACCAUUUAAAUCCCUUAACCAGGAACAAUUGGAGGGCAAGUCUGGUGCCAGCAGCCCCGGUAAUUCCAGCUCCCAUAACGUAUAUUAAAGUUGGUGCAGUUAAAAAGCUCGUAAUUGAAACUUGGGCCUGGGUGGGCGGUCCGCCUCACCCCGUGGACUGGUCCGGGCGGGGCUUUCCUUCUGGGGAACCCCAUGCCCUUCACUGGGCUGGGGCGGGGAACCAGGACUUUUACCUUGAAAAAAUUAAAAGUGUCAAAGCAAGCCUAUGCUCCAAUCACUUUACAUGGAAUAAUUAAAAUAGGACGUGGGGUUCUAUUUUGUUGGGUUCCUAAGACCGCCGUAAUGAUUAAAUAGGGACAAGUCGGGGGCCAUCAGUAUCCAUUGUCAGAGGUGAAAUUCUUGGAUUGAUGAAGACUAACUACUGCGAAGGCAUUGGCCAGGAUGUUUUCAUUAUCAUAACAAAGGUAGGGAUCGAGACGAACAAUACCGUCGUAGUCUAACGUAACUAUGCGACUAGGAUCGGCGAGUAUUAUUGACCGUCGGCACCUUACGAAUCAAGCUUCUUCUGGGGAUAUGUCCAGCUGACAG